AAAAACAUAACUGUACAAAGACGGGACUGAGCCACGUCAUACUCAUAUACAUAUAUAUGUACAAACGUAUCGUACCAAUAUCAAAAGAAGCUCCAGAUCAAAUGGAGCACACCAACUCUUGCUGAUCAGGGAUCCUAAGAAUGGGGACCGUCAGCUUGCCUACCUGCACCUGCGGGCAUGAAACACAGGCCCCGUAAAAUAGGGCAUCAGUACGAAAAAUGUACUGAGUAUGUAAGGCAUGGAAAUUAGUACGUAAAAGACAUAGAUGAAACAUGGAAUACUGAAACACAUUUUUAAAUUUGAAUAACUUUGUAAAUACUGAAACGUUUAUAACGUCAUGCACGUGCGUGUAAAUGUUAUGCCAUGCAUAGGUAUGGUGUACAUAAUAUCAUCAAGCCACUGGGGGAUUUCCAUCAUAUCAUCUCGGCCAUUGUGGGCAAUAUCAUCAACAUAUACUAGCUGAUCAGGUGGUGGUGCGUAUAUAAUGCCACAACCUUUUCCAUAUCCCAUAUACAUAUAUAUAUAUAUAUAUAUAUAUACGCGUAUAUAACGGCGUUUGAAUACAUACAUAUAUAUGUGUAUAUAACGUCGUUUGAAUCAUAUUUUAGCCAUUAUGGGCAAUAUCAUCAUCAUAUACCAGCUGAUCAGGUGGUGGUGCGUAUAUAACGCCGUAACCUUUUCCCAUAUCCCAUAUACAUAUAUUUAUAUAUAUACGGGUAUAUAACGUCAUCUGGUCAUGGGUCAAUGCACAUGUACGAAAUGCAUGAAAAAUACGUAAUAAUCUCAAUAUUCCUUCCGGAUAAUUUUUCCAAGUGCGUAUUAUUCUGAGACCCAUGAACAGAAGAAAAUAAUAAUUCUCAUGGGGAAUCAAGAAUAUAGACACCCCUACUAUUUCUAUGAAUAGAAUAAUUUAUAGAAACCGUUUAUUUGCUCAUUUCUUUCGUAUAAUCUAGAUCAUGCCAAAAGAAAGAAGGGAAGGCCUUAACAUACCUGGAGUAGGGAAAACUCUAUAUAAUAUUCUUGGCAAAGAUUACACCGUAUUCUUUUAGAACUACAAAACUUGGACGG
Molecule: long non-coding RNA, 1068 nt
Filed under: Nicotiana tabacum (common tobacco)
Lineage: Eukaryota; Viridiplantae; Streptophyta; Magnoliopsida; Solanales; Solanaceae
Description: long non-coding RNA (NTAB_LNC012971)
Source: RNAcentral